GACGAACGCUGGCGGCGUGCUUAACACAUGCAAGUCGAACGGUAAGGCCCUUCGGGGUACACGAGUGGCGAACGGGUGAGUAACACGUGGGUGAUCUGCCCUGCACUUCGGGAUAAGCCUGGGAAACUGGGUCUAAUACCGGAUAGGACCACUGCCUGCAUGGGGGGUGGUGGAAAGCUUUUGCGGUGUGGGAUGGGCCCGCGGCCUAUCAGCUUGUUGGUGGGGUGAUGGCCUACCAAGGCGACGACGGGUAGCCGGCCUGAGAGGGUGACCGGCCACACUGGGACUGAGAUACGGCCCAGCCUCCUACGGGAGGCAGCAGUGGGGAAUAUUGCACAAUGGGCGCAAGCCUGAUGCAGCGACGCCGCGUGAGGGAUGACGGCCUUCGGGUUGUAAACCUCUUUCAGCACCGACGAAGCGCAAGUGACGGUAGGUGCAGAAGAAGGACCGACCAACUACGUGCCAGCCGCCGCGGUAA
This 478-nucleotide ribosomal RNA is filed under the name uncultured bacterium. RNAcentral describes it as "partial 16S ribosomal RNA". It matches the Rfam family "Bacterial small subunit ribosomal RNA", at positions 28 to 523 of the family's 1533-position model. The record is from RNAcentral.